Molecule: ribosomal RNA, 465 nt
Filed under: Vreelandella stevensii
Lineage: Bacteria; Pseudomonadati; Pseudomonadota; Gammaproteobacteria; Oceanospirillales; Halomonadaceae
Description: partial 16S ribosomal RNA
Rfam family: Bacterial small subunit ribosomal RNA
Source: RNAcentral
CCAACGGGUGGCUGCAGUGGGGAAUAUUGGACAAUGGGGGGAACCCUGAUCCAGCCAUGCCGCGUGUGUGAAGAAGGCCCUCGGGUUGUAAAGCACUUUCAGUGAGGAAGAACGCCUGGUGGUUAAUACCCAUCAGGAAAGACAUCACUCACAGAAGAAGCACCGGCUAACUCCGUGCCAGCAGCCGCGGUAAUACGGAGGGUGCGAGCGUUAAUCGGAAUUACUGGGCGUAAAGCGCACGUAGGUGGCUUGAUAAGCCGGUUGUGAAAGCCCCGGGCUCAACCUGGGAACGGCAUCCGGAACUGUCAAGCUAGAGUGCAGGAGAGGAAGGUAGAAUUCCCGGUGUAGCGGUGAAAUGCGUAGAGAUCGGGAGGAAUACCAGUGGCGAAGGCGGCCUUCUGGACUGACACUGACACUGAGGUGCGAAAGCGUGGGUAGCAAACAGGAUUAGAUACCCCAGUAGUC